This is a small nuclear RNA of Pan troglodytes (chimpanzee), 106 nucleotides long. The record is from Rfam. Lineage: Eukaryota; Metazoa; Chordata; Mammalia; Primates; Hominidae.
GCGCCCGGCCUAGCAUAUAUAUUAAAAUUGGAUGUUACAAAGAAGAUUAGCAUGCCUCCUGUGAAAGGAUGACAUGCUGACAUGGAAAUUCGUGCUCCAUAUUUUU